AAAUUUGUAACUUAGGUAAAGUUUAGUGAUCACGUACUGAAAUUAUGUUUGAAUUGAAAUUGGAAAUAAGAAUGUUUAGCCGUAGCAUUCUGUAUUUCGGAGAUGAUUAAUUAACUGCAGUCUGCACCUUAAUAACAAGUAUAAACGUUGUUUUGGUGCGUAACCAGGUAUUUUCCGAUUGAAACUCAAAAUUCAAUUUUUCGCUAAUUAUGCCGGAGAUUGGAAACAGGAUGGCGACGCCAGUGCUCCAUUGCUGCAUUAUAUUUCUGCUCUUGCCUUUGGCUCUCAUCGUUGUAAAAAUCCAAUCUUUUUCCCCUUAUGAUUUGGGGUUUCCAAGUGUUAGUCCCAGAUUUCUCUCAAGUCUAUCUGGAGUCACUGAUGUGUCUUAGUUGUUGAUAAAACUAAAAUCAAAAUUAUGCAAGAUCAAUGUUCCAAUCCCAGCAAAAAAGCUUAGGUAAUUUCUUUCUAUUUUAAGUCUUAAUAGACAGACUACUUUAUAUUAUAUGGGGACAAUGCUAGUUUGUGUCUGUGUGUGCAUUUUAUAAAAAAAUGUCCUUAAAUUAUCUACAUUGUUCGAGCUCGAGGCAGUGGUGCACGUGCACCCACUGCUAUAUGGUGGUUCCGAUGCCAAGAUGCUUGUAUGCUAAUUUCAAAUAUGGUGGGGCAGUUUAUGCAUUUUCAAUUUGUAUUGGUAGUUUUGUUUUCUUCUCAGGAAACUGUGAGAUAGCUAUGAGAUGUUAGAGGCUGAUCUAGUAUAUAAAAGUAGCACCACUUAAUAUAUAAUGUGUUUUAUAAAAAUUGUCUUUGGAUUAUCUAUAUUAUUGGAGCUCGAGGUAGUGGUGCACGUGCACCUACUGCUUAUAUACUGGUUCCACAACCGAGACGUUUGUAUGUUCAUUUCAAAUUUCGUGUAGCAGUUUAUGCAUUUUCAAUUUAUUACUUCAAACACUUUAGUUACUUGGCCAUGUAUCUUCCUUUGUGAAACAAAUGUGGAAACAGCCAACCAUCUAUUGUUACAUUGUGAAUGUGAAUGGUCUGAUGAGAUGUCAAUGUCUAGUCUUCUCGUUGAAUUCGAUAUUGAUUAGUGUUGGAUGAGAUGGUUAUAUGAAUUACAAUCAAAAUUUGCUAGAUUGAUAUCAUUCGUUUAUGGAGUUUGUUUCAAUAAUUAUCACACUUUCCUUUAUCAUUGACACAGUUUCAUUUUAUGGCUUUGCCCUGCGCAUGCUGGCUUUGGAUGCCUAAUUCUUUUCCUGCCGGGUUAUCUUUUGCUUUGAAAAUUGAAACAGAAUAUAUAUAUUUUUUUUUAUUUUGCACCGGGUGUCCGAGUCUCUUUGAGCCCCGACUAAUCCCGGGGGUGCACAGGUCCUCGGCAAGGAGUUUCCCGCAAGUGCACCACGGUUAAUUCAGGUUUUACCCAUUCCGAUGGCCCUCAGAAAUUGUUUGCACCCAGUCGGUUUCGAACUUGAGACCUUGAAAGGGAGCAAACCCCAAGGCUCAAGUCAAUUGACACCAGGCCAACCCCUGAGGGUUGAAACAGAAUAAUUUAUUGUAAAGCUGAAAGCAAUUAUUGAGGAAACUUUUCUCGAUCUGUUGGUUUUCUUGACAGUAGACUGUAGGACGUUGAAGGCGGAUCUAUUAUACAAAGGAUAGUGGGUGCUAAACAUUUUCUUUAAAUCAUUACACACAUAUAUGUUGUUUGAACCUAAGGCAGUGCUGCGUGCACACAUUGCUUAUAUUGUGGCUCUACUUCUGAGACAUUAAUAUAUUAAUUUCAAUUGUGGUAUGGUAAUUUAUGCAUUUUCAACUUGUUACUUUAACACAUUUGUUGCUUGGUCGUGUAUAUUUAAUGUUUAGAUUUUAGAUUAGCAGCAUGUAUAAUAAUGAGAUGUCAAUGCUCGUCUUCUAGUUGAAUCUAAUAUUGGUUACAGUUCAAUGAUAGGUUAUUUGAAUUGUAAUCAAAUUUGCUAGAAUGAUAUAAUUCUUUUUAUGAAACUUCGUUUCAAUAAUUGCACUUAUUGUUAAUGUAGACACACCGUUUCCUUUUUUGGAAAUAUAAGGGUGAAUUUUUCCCUUGGUCCAUAGUAAGACUGGUAGCAACAUUUCUGCUUUACUGAAAUGUAAGCCUAAUGAACAGCACAUUCUUGGUAAUUGUUUUUCUAGUUAUUCAAAUUUGCAAGUAUUUGAACUAACAAUACUUGUCUACAUUCGAGUGUUUCUUUACUAUGUAAUCCCAUUUGUGAAGAGGGGCUUGGAGAUGCUGAAGAUUAAACAGCAUAUCAACUUAGGAC
This 2288-nucleotide long non-coding RNA is filed under the name Nicotiana tabacum (common tobacco). RNAcentral's name for it is "long non-coding RNA (NTAB_LNC017696)". The record is from RNAcentral. Lineage: Eukaryota; Viridiplantae; Streptophyta; Magnoliopsida; Solanales; Solanaceae.